UACGGAGGAUUCGAGCGUUAUCCGGAUUUAUUGGGCUUAAAGGGUGCGCAGGCGGACUGGUAAGUCAGCUGUGAAAGCUUACGGCUCAACCGUGAAAUUGCAGUGGAUACUGUUGGGCUAGAGUAUAGAUGAGGUGGGUGGAAUUUGUGGUGUAGCGGUGAAAUGCUUAGAGAUCAGAAGGAAUUCCAAUGGCGAAGGCAGCCCACUGGGGUAUAACUGACGCUGAGGCGCGAAGGUGUGGGGAUCAAACAGG
Molecule: ribosomal RNA, 253 nt
Filed under: uncultured bacterium
Lineage: Bacteria
Description: partial 16S ribosomal RNA
Rfam family: Bacterial small subunit ribosomal RNA
Source: RNAcentral